Molecule: ribosomal RNA, 465 nt
Filed under: uncultured bacterium
Lineage: Bacteria
Description: partial 16S ribosomal RNA
Rfam family: Bacterial small subunit ribosomal RNA
Source: RNAcentral
GACGAACGCUGGCGGCGCGCCUAACACAUGCAAGUCGAACGAGCGGGAGAGAGCUUGCUUUCUUGAGCGAGUGGCGAACGGGUGAGUAACGCGUGAGGAACCUGCCUCAAAGAGGGGGACAACAGUUGGAAACGACUGCUAAUACCGCAUAAGCCCACGACCCGGCAUCGGGUUGAGGGAAAAGGAGCAAUCCGCUUUGAGAUGGCCUCGCGUCCGAUUAGCUAGUUGGUGAGGUAACGGCCCACCAAGGCGACGAUCGGUAGCCGGACUGAGAGGUUGAACGGCCACAUUGGGACUGAGACACGGCCCAGACUCCUACGGGAGGCAGCAGUGGGGAAUAUUGCACAAUGGGGGAACCCUGAUGCAGCGACGCCGCGUGGAGGAAGAAGGUCUUCGGAUUGUAAACUCCUGUUGUUGAGGAAGAUAAUGACGGUACUCAACAAGGAAGUGACGGCUAACUACGUG